RNAcentral lists this ribosomal RNA (429 nucleotides) under uncultured archaeon. RNAcentral describes it as "bacterial SSU rRNA". It matches the Rfam family "Archaeal small subunit ribosomal RNA", at positions 474 to 903 of the family's 1478-position model. The record is from RNAcentral.
UACCAGCUCUCCGAGUGGUAGGGAUGAUUAUUGGGCUUAAAGCGUCCGUAGCCGGCUUAGCAAGUCUCCUGUUAAACUCAGCGACUUAAUCGUUGAAUCGCGGGAGAUACUACUAGGCUAGGAGGCGGGAGAGGUCGACGGUACUUCCGGGGUAGGGGUGAAAUCCUAUAAUCCCGGGAGGACCACCAGUGGCGAAGGCUGUCGACUAGAACGCGCUCGACGGUGAGGGACGAAAGCUUGGGGAGCGAACCGGAUUAGAUACCCGGGUAGUCCCAGCUGUAAACGAUGCGGGCUAGGUGUUGGAAUGGCUACGUGCCAUUUCAGUGCCGCAGGGAAGCCAUUAAGCCCGCCGCCUGGGGAGUACGGCCGCAAGGCUGAAACUUAAAGGAAUUGGCGGGGGAGCACCACAAGGCGUGAAGCUUGCGGUUC